RNAcentral lists this ribosomal RNA (344 nucleotides) under uncultured bacterium. RNAcentral describes it as "bacterial SSU rRNA". It matches the Rfam family "Bacterial small subunit ribosomal RNA", at positions 8 to 334 of the family's 1533-position model. The record is from RNAcentral.
AGGGUUUGAUCAUGGCUCAGGACGAACGCUGGCGGCGUGCUUAACACAUGCAAGUCGAACGGAGCACCCCUGAAGGAGUUUUCGGACAACGGAAGGGAAUGCUUAGUGGCGGACUGGUGAGUAACGCGUGAGGAACCUGCCUUUCAGAGGGGGACAACAGUUGGAAACGACUGCUAAUACCGCAUGAUGCAUUGAGGGGGCAUCCCCUUGAUGCCAAAGAUUUAUCGCUGAAAGAUGGCCUCGCGUCUGAUUAGCUAGUUGGAGGGGUAACGGCCCACCAAGGCGACGAUCAGUAGCCGGACUGAGAGGUUGACCGGCCACAUUGGGACUGAGAUACGGCCCAG